GACGAACGCUGGCGGCGUGCUUAACACAUGCAAGUCGAACGGAAAGGCCCUGCUUUUGUGGGGUGCUCGAGUGGCGAACGGGUGAGUAACACGUGAGUAACCUGCCCUUGACUUUGGGAUAACUUCAGGAAACUGGGGCUAAUACCGGAUAGGAGCUCCUGCUGCAUGGUGGGGGUUGGAAAGUUUCGGCGGUGGGGGCUGGACGCGCGGCUUAUCAGCUUGUUGGUGGGGUAGUGGCUUACCAAGGCUUUGACGGGUAGCCGGCCUGAGAGGGUGACCGGCCACAUUGGGACUGAGAUACGGCCCAGACUCCUACGGGAGGCAGCAGUGGGGAAUAUUGCACAAUGGGCGGAAGCCUGAUGCAGCAACGCCGCGUGCGGGAUGACGGCCUUCGGGUUGUAAACCGCUUUCGCCUGUGACGAAGCGUGAGUGACGGUAAUGGGUAAAGAAGCACCGGCUAACUACGUG
RNAcentral lists this ribosomal RNA (468 nucleotides) under uncultured bacterium. Its description in RNAcentral is "partial 16S ribosomal RNA". It matches the Rfam family "Bacterial small subunit ribosomal RNA", at positions 28 to 507 of the family's 1533-position model. The record is from RNAcentral.